Molecule: ribosomal RNA, 246 nt
Filed under: uncultured bacterium
Lineage: Bacteria
Description: partial 16S ribosomal RNA
Rfam family: Bacterial small subunit ribosomal RNA
Source: RNAcentral
GUAGGGGGCGAGCGUUAUCCGGAUUCAUUGGGCGUAAAGCGCGCGCAGGCGGACCGUUAAGCGGGACCUCUAAUCCUGGGGCUCAACCUCAGGCCGGGUCCCGAACUGGCGGUCUCGAGUGCGGUAGGGGAGGUCGGAAUUCCCGGUGUAGCGGUGGAAUGCGCAGAUAUCGGGAAGAACACCGAUGGCGAAGGCAGACCUCUGGGCCGACACUGACGCUGAGGCGCGAAAGCUAGGGGAGCGAAC